AUCCUGUUAUAAUUCAUAAGCAUGAUAAUUUGGUAGUCACAAGUUUAUGUAAUUUGUGUUUCCUUUAAAACUUGUUAUGAUGUUGACACAUUGCCUACCUGUCA
Suncus etruscus (white-toothed pygmy shrew) is the source of this 104-nucleotide small nucleolar RNA. RefSeq annotates it as small nucleolar RNA U13. The transcript has a single exon. Lineage: Eukaryota; Metazoa; Chordata; Mammalia; Eulipotyphla; Soricidae. The record is from RefSeq and is a predicted model, not a curated record.